This 6146-nucleotide long non-coding RNA is filed under the name Populus trichocarpa (black cottonwood). RNAcentral's name for it is "long non-coding RNA (PTRI_LNC004127)". The record is from RNAcentral. Lineage: Eukaryota; Viridiplantae; Streptophyta; Magnoliopsida; Malpighiales; Salicaceae.
GAAAUAAUAUUAAGAAUGAGGGGUGAGUUCAACCAACUCAGUGAGGGAAUAAUAAUUAAUAUACAUUUUAGAUAUUCUUGAUAUUUAUAGUUCGCAAGAUCAUUUAUCUUGAUAUACAUAUACAUAUACAUACUAAACUUAUCAUAUACAUAUCAUAUACAUACUAAACGUAUCAUCAUAACGUAGUGGACUAUAUGUCAGAGAUCAGAUGACACCCGAAGGUGACCAGAUGACACCCGAAGGUGACCAGACCAGAUGACACCCGAAGGUGACCACUGUGGGAUGAUCAGUCGCCACAGGCUGAUGCCUCUCUCACCAGCUAGGUAUACAUACAGAAUACUAUGUGCACACAGGCUAACUACUCUCCGUUAGCAUGGAGUUACUGACAAGUCCCAUAUCAAGGCAUAAUAGAUAUUCACAUAAUCAUCAAGAAACGUAUAUCAUAUCAAAUAGGAUUUACUUUGACAGAUUGCGAGUGCAAAUUCAAGAAUAAAUGAGUACUCGGAAAAUAAGCAACAUAUAUAAUUAUUCAAGGAAUUAACGAGUUGUACUCAUUGUAUAAUCAACAUACAUAUUUACUUAUCAUAUAUGCAUAUUAAAGAUUAUUCCACUCACCCGGAAAAUAUAGAACUAAAAGGAAUGUCAGACGAAAGACCCGAAAAUCCUAUUGAGGAUCGUUAGGAGAACCUACAACAAUACGAAAAUAUACUCAAAAGCAACUCAAACAAGAGAUCCCAAUGCAUAAAAGAAAACCAGGUUUAGUCUCCUAAGUUUAUGGACUAAAACGAUAAUUUUCCAAAACAGGGACCAAAACGUAAUUUUACCAAAAUUGGACCAAUCUGGAAAAUACAUAACUAUACUGAAUUUUCACCCAUAAACCAUCCUUAAUUCUGUCUAGAACGAACCAGGGACCGAACUGUAAUUUUCAUAAAGUUCAGGGACUAAAAUGUAAAUUCCCGAAAUUGAGGGACCAAACUGAAAAUAUUCCAAAUCAAUUAUCAAACUCAGAUUCAUCAUCCUUAACCUCAUAAUAACACUGUCCAGAAUCUCAAAAUACAAUUAGGGGUCAAAUUAUAAUUUUACCAAAGUUUAGGGACUAAAUUGUAAUUUCACAAAUUGAGGGACCAAAUUGAAUUUUCGUCAUCUUCAACCUCAAACCCAGAAUUUCACAGAUUACCUACUGUCAUCUUCUGAUUUCUAACACAAUUUCACCAUUCAAACAAAAUCAUAACUCAAAAUCAUCAUCUUUACCUCCAAUCUCUCACAAUCAACUAAUUAACCAAUUACCCACAACAAUCAACCCAUAACCUUCCAAUUAAUUCAUCAAUCAAACUCAAAACACAAUAUUCAAAACCCUAACAUUUAUCAAAACAGAACUUAAAGCUUAAAGAACACACAUUUAUACAUAAUCUUACCUUUAAACUUAUUUUCCUCUACUUCUCUCCCUUUUCCCUUCUCUUCCCCUCUUUUCUCUUCUUCUUCUUCCUCCUCCCUUCUCUCUCACGGUUUGCUCCUUCCAUUUUCAGAUCCCUCUUUCUUUCUUCUUCUUUCUUUUAUUUAUAUUUAUCAACUAUUGUUCAAUUACCACAAUACCCCUCAUUUAAUUAUACUUACUUCUAAGCCUCCAAGGGCUUGGUUGCCCUUUCCUACUAAUUUAUUUGCAAAACAUCACAAUCUCCCCACCUUAUAAAAGUUUCGUCCUCGAAACUUAAAAUUUAAGAACCAAAGUCUUACCAUCAUGAUCAAAUAAAUUAUUUAAAACUUAUCUCUAAAAUUGUAUUUCUUAAACUAUCAUUUAAAGUCCACUUAAAAAAAAAAUCAAUAUAUAGCACCAUGCUUUCGUUGCGCACUCUGAUAUAUCCACUGAAAAAAAUAUCUCAUGCAUAACUUUUCUUAAUUCAUAUCCCUCAAAAUCAAACAACACACCCUUCAAUUUCUCUUGAAUCAACUUUUCUCAAAUAACUUAUCUCAAAUCAUAUCUCUUCAAAAAUCAAAACGCAUCCUCAUAAUUUAUUUAUUUUUAAGCAUCAGGUAAAAGAAUUCAGCCUUAUAGUUGGGGAAUGUCAUGAAGUAACAGAGUCUAAUGAACAACAACAAUUAUGAGCUCAAACUUUCAAGAGGUAUCAAUCAUGGAGGAGAUUUCGCUUGCAAAAGCAAUAAGCGAUGAAGAUGAUAAGAUGUAUGUAGUUCUCUCAACCACCAUAACAACUAAAGAGUCAGAUGAAAUGAUAAAGACUAUAAAGGAGGAACAUAGUUGUUGUGACAAGAUUAAGGCAACAAUUAUGGUAAAGAUAACAAAAACCAGCUUGGAAGAAGCUUAGAUGGAUGAAAAGUUGUUAUAUGGUUUCAAUAUUACCUCAAAUGAUAGUGUUUCUCUUGAAAUUGAAGCAAAAACAUGUUUGAUAAGAAAAAAAAAAUCAAAGAUAACAUGGGACUUAAGAUACCCUACUUGAGAACUGAGGAUGCAUAGUAUAAGCAGUUUGGUGUGCUUCCGUCAUCACAUCUCUUUUCAAACCAUCCACCUCAGGCACACAUAACCUGGAACCAAAUCUCAACACACCAUCUUCAUGGAUAACAAAACCCGGAGCUCUCCCUAACUCCAACUCAUCUCUAAUCUUGCAAAGUCGCUCAUCCUUCAUUUGAGCUACUUUAAUUCGGUCUACCAAGUCUGACAUAGCCUGAAAGUGAGCCAACAAUGCUCCCGAUUCACAAAUCUCAAAACUGACCCUCUCAUCUAACAAUCAGUGUAACUCUUUAAUCAAAGGUCUCCUCACCUCCUGAAUAUGAGCCAAACUACCCAUAGAUUUUCUGCUUAAGGCAUCGGCAACAACAUUUGCCUUGCCCGGGUGAUAUUGAAUCGUGCAAUCAUAAUCACUUAACAAUUCCAUCCACCUUUUCUAUCUCAAAUUCAGAUCCUUAUGCUGGAAGAUAUAUUGAAGACUUUUAUGAUCUGAAAAUAUCUCACAUGUCUCCCCAUACAAGUAGUGUCUCUAAAUUUUAAGGGCAAACACUACUGCAACCAUCUCCAAAUCAUGUGUGGGGUAAUUUUGUUCGUGCUUCUUCAACUUUCUCGAGGCAUAAGCAAUCACAUUACCGUUCUGCAUCAAAACACAACCCAAACCAAUCCUGGAUGCAUCAUAGUACACGGUAAAACCACCAGACCCUGAAGAUACUGUUAAAAUAGGAGCUGUAAUUAACCUUUCCUUCAACUCCAGGAAACUCUUUUCACAUUCUUCUGACCAUUGAAACUUGACAUUUUUUUUUUUUUGUCAACUUAGUCAUUGGAGCAGCAAUUCAGGAAAAAUUCUCCACGAAUCUCCUGUAAUAUCAUGUUAAACCCAUAAAACUCCUAAUCUCAGAUAUUGUAACUGGUCUAGGCCACUGCUUAAUUGCCUCCACUUUUUGUGGAUCAACCUCUAUCCUAUUCUUGGACACUACAUGUCCCAGAAACCCAACAGUUUCUAACCAAAACUCACUCUUCAAGAAUUUUCCAUACAACUGAUGAUCUCUCAGAGUUUGAAGCACCAAUCUCAAAUGCUGCUCAUGCUCUUCUCUAGACCUCGAAUACACCAAAAUGUCAUCAAUGAACACAAUAACAAACUUAUCAAUAAACGGCCUAAAAACCCUGUUCAUCAUGUCCAUAAAAGCUGCAGGUGCAUUCGUUAACCCAAAAGACAACACUAGGAACUCGUAAUGCCCAUAACGAGUCCUAAAGGCAGUUUUAGGAACAUCCUCAUUCCUAAUCCUCAACUGGUGAUACCCCGAUCGCAAAUCAAUUUUUGAGAAACAUUGAGCUCUUUGUAAUUGAUCAAAAAGGUCAUCAAUGCGAGGGAGUGGGUAUUUAUUCUUAACAGUGACCUUGUUCAACUGCCUAUAGUCUAUACACAUCCUCAUUGAUCCAUCAUUGGGACCUCUAUGUUCACAUCAUGCACAUAAGCCAAAAACCCAUGCAUACCCUUCUGUACCAUCCUUCUCGUACCAUCCUUCUCGUGAUGGCCGGGAAAAUACUAGAUGGAGAUGAUACUUUAUCUUCAUGAAAAGCAAAUUUGUAUCCUCAUUAGGUUUGAAAGCUAUUAUCUUAUUCCAACAAUCAACUGAGACAUGGUGUCUUGACAACUAAUCCAUACCUAAUAUCACAUAAAAUGCUCACUAUUUCUAAAAGUACCAAAUCACCCAAUUUUAGAUAAGUAUAUUAAUCAACAUAUAGAUCAUAAUCAAAAGCCUAUAAUAACAACCUUCAUAAGUAAUUCUCCAAUAACAGUCUCAUCAUCCAUAACUAAUUAAUCAUAUUUCAACUUUCUCCUGCAUUUAAAAUCUAUAUUUCUGAAAUAAAAAUAUUGCGGAAAGAGAUGAGCGUCCACGACUCAAAAAGUAAUCAAAAUAAACACACCCAGAAAAAUAUUAUCAAACACAAAUUUUUCAUUGAAUAUUGUCAACGAUAUAUAUAUCAUAGAAAAAGAUUAUUAGACAUAUUUUUCAGAAUACUUACCAAAGAUAACACAUAUAGAUAUAAAUAUGAUGUAAAAUCAGAUUUAAAUACAAAAAUACUAUAAGUUGUUCAAUUACUUAAAAGCACAUACUUACAUUCAAUAUACACUCACUAACAUGAUUUGCACAUAUACAUACUUUUAGAGCACUACAAAUCAGAAAAUCAGCUCAUUUACAUAUAUUAUAUAUACUUCCAAAAAAAAUAUAUUUAUACCAAAUACUUAUGCUUAAGUAUUUUCAAGAAAUAUUAUUACUCAAAUACACGUUUUAUGCAAAUACUUUCAAAGAUAUACUUAUAUCAAAUAUUCACACACACAAGUAUAUGCAAAACACGUAUACCACAUAUAUUAUAUCCAAGAAUAUACUUAUAUCAAAUAUUGUCAGCCAUGUAUGAAAAACACAUAUUAUACAUAGUAUAUCCAUUGAUAUAUUUAUAUCAACCAUUCACAUAAUAUAUAUUUCCCCACAUGUAUAUCAACACGGCAAUAAAAAAAAAAGUUCAAAGAAGACAAUGAGGAAUCACAAUAAGACAAGAAGGAUCCUAAGCUCCACAUAUUACAAGUUUUUUUUUUUUUAAAAAAAAGGACCAAGUUUUAACAAAACCAAGCUACAGGGAUUUAACAAGAACCUGGCUCUGAUACCACCUUUGUAACGACCCGAAUCCCGGGUCCAUGACCGGCAACGCAGGAGCGGUGCCGGAAGGACACCCCGCCCGCGCUAAGCCUCAAAACGAACAUAUCAAAAGAAUAAUUUAUUCAAAAAUACGCAGCAUUUCAUAAUCUUCAGAAAUAUUAUAUCCUUCAAAACUGAUGAAACCAAAAGAUAGUUUAAAACUCUUCAUCAGUAAUUAAAACAAAAACAAUAAUCCAUAAUACUCAUUACAUUGUCAAAAAUCCAAACUUAAUUAAAACAAGGUAAUAGUGGAGCGCCUAAGACAUCGAAUCAAACAGCCUUGAAAGAUAAGCAAGGCAUACCGACCCAAAACUGAAGAAGCAGGAACACUCAACAAGGUUCACCUGCUAUCAGAAACUAAGAACCUGAAAUAAUAUUAAGAAUGAGGGGUGAGUUCAACCAACUCAGUGAGGGAAUAAUAAUUAAUAUACAUUUUAGAUAUUCUUGAUAUUUAUAGUUCGCAAGAUCAUUUAUCUUGAUAUACAUAUACAUAUACAUACUAAACUUAUCAUAUACAUAUCAUAUACAUACUAAACGUAUCAUCAUAACGUAGUGGACUAUAUGUCAGAGAUCAGAUGACACCCGAAGGUGACCAGAUGACACCCGAAGGUGACCAGACCAGAUGACACCCGAAGGUGACCACUGUGGGAUGAUCAGUCGCCACAGGCUGAUGCCUCUCUCACCAGCUAGGUAUACAUACAGAAUACUAUGUGCACACAGGCUAACUACUCUCCGUUAGCAUGGAGUUACUGACAAGUCCCAUAUCAAGGCAUAAUAGAUAUUCACAUAAUCAUCAAGAAACGUAUAUCAUAUCAAAUAGGAUUUACUUUGACAGAUUGCGAGUGCAAAUUCAAGAAUAAAUGAGUACUCGGAAAAUAAGCAACAUAUAUAAUUAUUCAAGGAAUUAACGAGUUGUACUCAUUGUAUAAUCAACAUACAUAUUUACUUAUCAUAUAUGCAUAUUAAAGAUUAUUCCACUCACCCGG